Molecule: ribosomal RNA, 484 nt
Filed under: uncultured bacterium
Lineage: Bacteria
Description: partial 16S ribosomal RNA
Rfam family: Bacterial small subunit ribosomal RNA
Source: RNAcentral
AUUGAACGCUGGCGGCAUGCUUUACACAUGCAAGUCGAACGGCAGCGCGGGCUUCGGCCUGGCGGCGAGCGGCGAACGGGCGAGUAAUGCAUCGGAACGUGGCAAGUAGUGGGGGAUAGGCCGGCGAAGGCCGGAUUAAUACCGCAUACGACCUGAGGGUGAAAGCGGGGGACCGAAAGGCCUCGCGCCAUUGGAGCGGCCGAUGUCGGAUUAGCUAGUUGGUGGGGUAAAGGCUUACCAAGGCGACGAUCCGUAGCUGGUCUGAGAGGACGACCAGCCACACUGGGACUGAGACACGGCCCAGACUCCUACGGGAGGCAGCAGUGGGGAAUUUUGGACAAUGGGGGCAACCCUGAUCCAGCCAUGCCGCGUGCGGGAAGAAGGCCUUCGGGUUGUAAACCGCUUUUGUUCGGGAAGAAAUCCUCUGGGCUAAUACCCCGCGGUGAUGACGGUACCGGAAGAAUAAGCACCGGCUAACUACGUG